UUCACCUACGGGGGGCAGCAGUGAGGAAUAUUGGUCAAUGGGCGGAAGCCUGAACCAGCCAAGUCGCGUGAAGGAAGAAGGCUUUCGGGUUGUAAACUUCUUUUCUUGGGGACGAAGAAAGUGACGGUACCCAAGGAAUAAGCCACGGCUAACUACGUGCCAGCAGCCGCGGUAAUACGUAGGUGGCAAGCGUUAUCCGGAUUUAUUGGGUGUAAAGGGCGUGUAGGCGGGAAUGCAAGUCAGAUGUGAAAACUAUGGGCUCAACCCAUAGCCUGCAUUUGAAACUGUAUUUCUUGAGUGCUGGG
RNAcentral lists this ribosomal RNA (305 nucleotides) under uncultured bacterium. RNAcentral describes it as "bacterial SSU rRNA". It matches the Rfam family "Bacterial small subunit ribosomal RNA", at positions 334 to 653 of the family's 1533-position model. The record is from RNAcentral.